Molecule: RNA transcript, 3360 nt
Organism: Trachemys scripta elegans
Lineage: Eukaryota; Metazoa; Chordata; Testudines; Emydidae
Gene: TPST1
Gene name: tyrosylprotein sulfotransferase 1
Exons: 10
Source: RefSeq, a predicted model, not a curated record
UCAGGACUGUCUCUAUAAAAUCAGGACAUCUGGUCACCCUAAUUUUACCUCCCAUCCCAGGCCUCCCUUAGAACAGACAGUUGGCCAGUGUGGGUCUCUCGGGGGCUCAAGGAAAGCUUAGAAGUGAACGUAAGAAACCUAUUCUAGGCUUGCAGCAAAUCUCAGCCGAUUCUUCUUUCUGAAUGUGCUGCUUAUGCACCAAAUGCCUGACUCUCUCCUGUGAAGGAUCUGAGUUGGGCAUUCAAAUACAGACGGGACCCUCCCGAGGGGCCUGGGUAUUUGCUUGCCCACUCUGAGAGUGCUCCCGGGUCACCCCUACUUUUUUAUUUAGGAAAUUCAACCUAUUGCCCAGGUCCUGAACGUGCAAGGGGACAAGCACUCUGGUCCAGAUCCAGCAAAGCAUUGAAUGACACGCUUAACUGUCAGCAUGUGAGUAGUUAAAGUUAAGCACGUGCUUAAAUGCUUUGGCCUUGAUCCGAAAACGUGCUUCUCGCCUUGCAGAAUCAAGCACGUCUGGCGUACCUAGAAAAGUUGUACGAUCCCGUCUUAUCUGUGGGGUGCUGGCAAUGCAGGCGAACCCAGAGCAACGCAUCAGAAGAGAAACCGGGAACCAGGGCCCACUCUACUGCUAGCUCAGCACUUGGAGCGAGGGACAAUCCUAGGCAAAGGACAAAGGUAGUCUUCAGGGAUCUGUGUUGAUAUCAAGGGAGUGAGGAACCCUGAGUACUUUCUCUGGAGCAAGGAGGAUUCAGAAUGAGAAGUGUGUGUGAAUACAGCGCUGGUGAAAUUGCUGGAUUGAAAAACCCUGGAGAUCCAAGCCUCGGUACAACAGAGGCGUCGGCCGUGCAAGCGUCUCCCACUGUUGGACUUCACUCCCCUAUGGGUUCAUCUUUGGCCUUUCUGCUCUGACUGUUGACAGUGGACCUAGUGGCUGCAGUGGCAUUGGCUUGCUGGGAAAACACAGAACUCUGAACGUUACAGCUGUGCACAGAGCAGAUCUUGAUCAUCUUGGACUAUAAUCUCCAUGGCGUGAAAAUCUGAAGAUAUUCCGGAGUAAAAGAUUGGUUUAUUUAAAGUGACUAUUAUAUCAAAAUGGUUGGAAAACUCAAACAAAACUUGUUAUUGGCAUGUCUGGUGAUCAGCUCAGUGACAGUGUUUUAUUUGGGGCAACAUGCUAUGGAAUGUCACCACAGAAUAGAAGAACGCAGCCAGCCAGUGAGGAUGGAAAGUGGGAGAACCACAAUAAGAACUGUCUUUAACUUAAAAGCAAAUAAAACCUUUGCUUACAAUAAAGACAUGCCUUUAAUAUUUAUUGGAGGGGUGCCUCGAAGUGGCACUACACUAAUGCGUGCCAUGCUAGAUGCUCACCCCGAUAUCCGUUGUGGAGAAGAGACUAGGGUUAUCCCUCGAAUUCUGGCAGUUAAGCAGAUGUGGGCCAGAUCAAGUAAAGAGAAAAUCAGACUGGAUGAAGCUGGGGUGACAGAUGAAGUUCUGGACUCAGCCAUGCAAGCCUUUUUAUUGGAAAUCAUUGUUAAACACGGGGAACCUGCUCCCUAUUUGUGUAAUAAAGAUCCUUUUGCUCUGAAGUCCUUAACUUAUCUUGCCAGAAUUUUCCCCAAUGCCAAAUUUCUUUUAAUGGUACGGGAUGGUCGUGCAUCGGUGCAUUCCAUGAUAUCUAGAAAAGUCACCAUAGCUGGGUUUGACCUUAACAGCUACAGGGACUGUUUGACCAAGUGGAAUCGUGCUAUAGAGACUAUGUAUAACCAGUGUAUGGAGGUUGGUUUUGAAAGAUGCAUGCUGGUACACUAUGAACAACUUGUAUUGCAUCCUGAAAGGUGGAUGAGAAAUCUAUUAAAGUUUCUCCACAUUCCAUGGAACCAAGCAGUGCUACACCAUGAGGAAAUGAUUGGGAAAGCAGGUGGUGUCUCUCUUUCAAAAGUUGAAAGAUCUACAGAUCAAGUAAUCAAACCAGUCAAUGUGGAAGCUUUGUCCAAAUGGGUUGGGAAAAUACCUUCAGAUGUUCUACAAGACAUGCCAGUGAUUGCACCAAUGUUAGCGAAACUUGGCUACGAUCCAUAUGCCAAUCCACCAAAUUAUGGAAAGCCAGAUCAAAAAGUUCUUGAAAACACACGACGGGUCUAUAAAGGUGAAUUUCAGCUUCCUGAUUUUCUUAAAGAAAUGCCACAGCCAAAGAAGACAGUAGAAAGGAAGUCCCGUGGCAAGAUAAAAUGAACAUGGACCAGUAAAGUAGAGUAGCUGUGGUACCGAACCAGUGGAGUAGAAUAUCUGAUGGAUUUACCUUGCACAUAAGAUCAUUAGUGGAAGCUUCAGAGUGGAAAAUUGCAUUCUGCAUUAAUAUAUUUGGGGCUUAGGGUGGGAAAUAGAUGAAGGUAUUUAGUCCAGAUUCAAAAGUAAUAUAUAUGAGUCAAUUUGGUAUAAUUCAAUAUGCUGAGGAGCUGAAAAAGUGUAAAUUACAUCAUUUCAGGAUUGCUAGACAACCAUACAUGAUAUCACCUCUGAAUUUAAACUAUUCUCGGAUUUCUCUGCACUGUGGUACGGCUGGAAGUACAAAGGAAAAUAUAAAAUGAACAAACUAUUUGGCACUUUUUAGUAGAUCUUCAUAUUUUUAAUUUGUGUUAAAAUUAAUAUACAGGUGACAUUUGUUAAGAAUGCAUUUCAAUUUGAUGUACAAGACAAAGAUUUUUAAAAUAAACUUUUUAUAUUUUUAAAGACCGUUCUUUGGUUAAAGAGUGGGAUAAGAAAUGACCAAAAAAAAAAAAAAGGGCUAACUGUAGUUUUUUGCCUAUAGUGUCCCAUAUAUCCUGAAACAACCACAGGAAAAUUGUAUUUCUUUGAUGAAAAAUGGCCAGGAUAGGGAAUGCAUAUUUUAGUGCACUUUGUACUGGGACACUGGUGAAUGGUGAAGGCAUCGCUGCUAAUUCUAUAAUCAAUAAUAAUUUUAUUUUUAGAGCACUCCUUGCUUAAAAUAUUCUGGGUGCCCAGCAAAAUGCAACAUCCAUCUUAAAUUAAACCAAGGCAACAUAGUGUUUAUAAAUAAACAAAUAGCACAUGUACACAAAAGGAUUAUGUUGCAUUAUAAAGAAAAAUUCUGUUUGGAAAUUAUUCUUAAUUUAGAAAUCUAUGUGGAAAGCAUUCAUUUAGUAUUACAUAAAAAAAACAUUUAAAACUUUUAUGUCUCAGAUAAUUUUACUUUAAUAAAUAAUUGGCAUUGGAGUUUGAUUUAGUGCCGUUUUUUACGUUCCAAAGCAGCAAAAUCUCCUUGAAAGCAUCCUCAGAAGCAAUUUCACUGUCAAUUUGUGAUGAAAGAAAGUUGUUAAUAAAAAAAUAAUUUGCACUAUG